RNAcentral lists this ribosomal RNA (252 nucleotides) under Triticum aestivum (bread wheat). Its description in RNAcentral is "partial small subunit ribosomal RNA". The record is from RNAcentral. Lineage: Eukaryota; Viridiplantae; Streptophyta; Magnoliopsida; Poales; Poaceae.
AUGGCGCCGAGUCCGCCGGCGCUGGUCGACGACGCCAUGCGCGAGGUCUUCACGCGCCUGCCGGCGGACGACCCCAGGAGCCUCGUCCGCGCCGCCGCCGUCUGCAGGAGCUGGCGCGGCAUCCUCUCCGACCCCGGCUUCGCCCGCGGCUACCGCGCGUUCCACGGGGCGGCGCCCAUGCUGGGCUUCCUCCACAACGCGUACCGCAACGGCAACCACAAUGCCAGAGAGCCUGGACGAGGCACACCUUGA